CCGCUUCUGAUUGGUCUUAAAAUUCAUCACCGUAAAGACGGAGAGAAGCCUUAAAUGCAUUGUAAGAGCUGGAGUAUAGCUCCCUUCACAGUUUUGAACUGAACAGACACUCAGGAGGUUUAUUUCUUUGAGCAUUUGAUGUUAAGUGUUGGACCUCAAAAUUAUCUAAGGAUCCUCAGAACUUCCAGGCAGUCCUCUAACAAGGUUGAAGCAGAGGCAGGUGACAAGCGUCUGGAGCAGCAGGAGAUCCAGUUGUGCUUCCCAUCAGUCCGUCCAGACUGAGGCCCUGGAAGGCUCCGAAGAAGGAAUCAUCCUUUGCUGGGGCCGGUUUCCUAGCUGUGGUGGUCUGCUGCAAGUGGGAGAAAAGUGUUAGAUUUUGAUACUGUUCAGCCUGGUACACUCUGAGCCAGGAGUCAGGGACUUUCUGGCUGCUGCAGGGAAGGCUUCUCCUCCUACUGAUGCUCUUCCUGCGGGC
Long non-coding RNA from Lates calcarifer (barramundi perch), 475 nucleotides. RefSeq lists it as uncharacterized. The record is from RefSeq and is a predicted model, not a curated record. NCBI's taxonomy places the organism in Eukaryota, Metazoa, Chordata, Actinopteri, Centropomidae. The transcript has 3 exons.